RNAcentral lists this microRNA precursor (106 nucleotides) under Lepisosteus oculatus (spotted gar). RNAcentral's name for it is "miRNA (ENSLOCG00000019364.1)". The stretch from base 17 to 96 matches the Rfam family "mir-17 microRNA precursor family". Rfam says of the family: This family represents the microRNA (miRNA) precursor mir-17, family, which includes mir-20, mir-91, and mir-103. miRNAs are transcribed as ~70nt precursors (modelled here) and subsequently processed by the Dicer enzyme to give a ~22nt product. In this case the mature sequence comes from the 3' arm of the precursor. The record is from RNAcentral. Lineage: Eukaryota; Metazoa; Chordata; Actinopteri; Semionotiformes; Lepisosteidae.
GCUGGCCUGAGGGGUCCUCGCUGUGCUAAAGUGCUUACAGUGCAGGUAGUUCCUCUGUUCAGCCUACCGCAGUGUGAGCACUUCUUGCACAGCAGGGCCAAGACGC